CGGUGGCGGACGGGUGAGUAACGCGUAAAGAACUUGCCCUCUUGACCGGGACAACUGUUGGAAACGACAGCUAAUACCGGAUAUUAUGGGAACCUCGCAUGGGGAACUUAUGAAAGCUAUAUGCGCUAGAGGAGAGCUUUGCGUGCCAUUAGGUAGUUGGUAGGGUAAUGGCCUACCAAGCCGACGAUGGCUGGCCGGCCUGAGAGGGUGAUCGGCCACAAGGGGACUGAGACACGGCCCUU
RNAcentral lists this ribosomal RNA (242 nucleotides) under uncultured bacterium. Its description in RNAcentral is "partial 16S ribosomal RNA". It matches the Rfam family "Bacterial small subunit ribosomal RNA", at positions 93 to 334 of the family's 1533-position model. The record is from RNAcentral.